This is a long non-coding RNA of Stegastes partitus (bicolor damselfish), 1038 nucleotides long. RefSeq lists it as uncharacterized. Lineage: Eukaryota; Metazoa; Chordata; Actinopteri; Pomacentridae. The record is from RefSeq and is a predicted model, not a curated record. The transcript is spliced from 2 exons.
AACAGCUUAAUCCUCUGAACUCCCAACAAUUUCUGGGUGUUUUUAUGUUGCUUUAUGUUAUUUAUCUGUACAUGUAAUCUUGUGUCGUGUGUUUUUUUUCUAAAUAUAUAUGUGUAUUUUUAUUUAUUUUAUUCCUUUUCACUCCUUUACUUAUUUUUUCUUUAUUAUUGUUAUACAAUUUUACUCAAGUGUAGUCAAUACUUCUCAUUAUCCUUGUUUUUAAUUAUUUAUUUAGACUUUUUCCUUUAUUUGACGGGUUGUAUGGCUGUCUGGGAUGGGGACAUUGUUGUUCUGUUUGUUAAAAUAAAACAAAAACUCAAUUUAAAAAAACAAUAAAAAUUAAAGAAAAAGGUCUUUUGUAAAGCAUGGCAAUGUAUGGUGCCAUAAACCAUAACAAAGAAAAAAAACAAACUAAUUUUAUAUUCCAUUAAUUACAAAAAACAAAACAUUUUUUUUUGUGUAUGUGUGCCCACAGGUGUUGCCAAAACUAGAAAAAGAGGUGGCUGUACAUGGGAUAAAUAUUUCUAAUUCCUACUUUCAGUUUUCAUGUGUUUCCCUACUUGUCUCCAUCUACUCUGUAUAAACACAGCCGGCAGUUCAGCCGAGAAAUCCCAGAAUUUCCGUCACUUGACUGUUAGUUGUAGUAAAAUUAUCAAUGGCUUCUCGGUUGUAGUGGGUAGUGAAGAAUUUUUUGUAUUUUUCUCUACAGAAUCUGGCUGUAAACACUUUUUUGGGUCAAAUUUUUAAAUAACACAUGUAAAAUACAGUGAUAUCUUUAAGUUUAGAUUUCACUAUUUUUCCUGGAGGAACUGCACGUCACACAUGAUUAGCUAACAGACCAUCAGAAAGUUACAAAUUCCAAAAUCUUUUCUAUUUUUGCAGUUUUUGGAUCUAACUAAUGCUGUAAUUUUAGUCCAUUUUUAAAAUAACAUGCUUUUCAAAUUCGUGUUUUUGGGGUUCAGAGGUUUAACUAACUCUGACUUUGUGAUGUAAUCUCAAACUCACAGGGAGUCUCAACAAAUCAGGGAGGAAAAAAAA